GGCAAUAGCUCAAAUUUGAAAUCUGGCCUUCGGGUCCGAGUUGUAAUUUGUAGAGGAUGCUUUUGGUGCGGUGCCUUCCGAGUUCCCUGGAACGGGACGCCUUAGAGGGUGAGAGCCCCGUACGGUUGGACACCAAGCCUCUGUAAAGCUCCUUCGACGAGUCGAGUAGUUUGGGAAUGCUGCUCUAAAUGGGAGGUAAAUUUCUUCUAAAGCUAAAUAUUGGCCAGAGACCGAUAGCGCACAAGUAGAGUGAUCGAAAGAUGAAAAGCACUUUGAAAAGAGGGUUAAAUAGCACGUGAAAUUGUUGAAAGGGAAGCGUUUGCGACCAGACCUUUUCCUGGCGGAUCAUCCGGUGUUCUCACCGGUGCACUUCGCCAGGUUUAGGCCAGCAUCGGUUUCCGCAGAGGGAUAAAAGCUCUGGGAACGUAGCUCCUCCGGGAGUGUUAUAGCCCUCUGCAUAAUACCUUUGUGGGGACCGAGGACCGCGCUUCGGCAAGGAUGCUGGCGUAAUGGUCGUCAACGACCCGUCUUGAAACACGGACCAAGGAGUCGAACAUUUGUGCGAGUGUUUGGGUGUUAAACCCUCACGCGUAAUGAAAGUGAACGGAGGUGAGAGCCUUUACGGGUGCAUCAUCGACCGAUCCUGAUGUCUUCGGAUGGAUUUGAGUAAGAGCAUAACUGUUCGGACCCGAAAGAUGGUGAACUAUGCGUGGAUAGGGUGAAGCCAGAGGAAACUCUGGUGGAGGCUCGCAGCGGUUCUGACGUGCAAAUCGAUCGUCAAAUCUGCGCAUGGGGGCGAAAGACUUAUCGAACCAUCUAGUAGCUGGUUACCGCCGAAGUUUCCCUCAGGAUAGCAGUGUUGUUCUUCAGUUUUAUGAGGUAAAGCGAAUGAUUAGGGACUCGGGGGCGCUUUUUAGCCUUCAUCCAUUCUCAAACUUUAAAUAUGUAAGAAGCCCUUGUUACUUAGUUGAACGUGGGCAUUCGAAUGUACCAACACUAGUGGGCCAUUUUUGGUAAGCAGAACUGGCGAUGCGGGAUGAACCGAACGCGGGGUUAAGGUGCCGGAGUGGACGCUCAUCAGACACCACAAAAGGUGUUAGCACAUUUAGACAAUAGGACGGUGGCCAUGGAAGUCGGAAUCCGCUAAGGACUGUGUAACAACUCACCUAUCGAAUGUGCUAGCCCUGAAAAUGGAUGGCGCUCAAGCGUCCCACCCAUACCUCGCCCUCAGGGUAGAAACGAUGCCCUGAGGAGUAGGCGGCCG
Molecule: ribosomal RNA, 1264 nt
Filed under: Xylaria sp. 5311
Lineage: Eukaryota; Fungi; Ascomycota; Sordariomycetes; Xylariales; Xylariaceae
Description: eukaryotic LSU rRNA
Rfam family: Eukaryotic large subunit ribosomal RNA
Source: RNAcentral